RNAcentral lists this ribosomal RNA (458 nucleotides) under Escherichia coli. Its description in RNAcentral is "partial 23S ribosomal RNA". It matches the Rfam family "Bacterial large subunit ribosomal RNA", at positions 1291 to 1751 of the family's 2925-position model. The record is from RNAcentral. Lineage: Bacteria; Pseudomonadati; Pseudomonadota; Gammaproteobacteria; Enterobacterales; Enterobacteriaceae.
CGAAUGCUGACAUAAGUAACGAUAAAGCGGGUGAAAAGCCCGCUCGCCGGAAGACCAAGGGUUCCUGUCCAACGUUAAUCGGGGCAGGGUGAGUCGACCCCUAAGGCGAGGCCGAAAGGCGUAGUCGAUGGGAAACAGGUUAAUAUUCCUGUACUUGGUGUUACUGCGAAGGGGGGACGGAGAAGGCUAUGUUGGCCGGGCGACGGUUGUCCCGGUUUAAGCGUGUAGGCUGGUUUUCCAGGCAAAUCCGGAAAACCAAGGCUGAGGCGUGAUGACGAGGCACUACGGUGCUGAAGCGACAAAUGCCCUGCUUCCAGGAAAAGCCUCUAAGCAUCAGGUAACAUCAAAUCGUACCCCAAACCGACACAGGUGGUCAGGUAGAGAAUACCAAGGCGCUUGAGAGAACUCGGGUGAAGGAACUAGGCAAAAUGGUGCCGUAACUUCGGGAGAAGGCACGC